This 449-nucleotide ribosomal RNA is filed under the name uncultured bacterium. RNAcentral describes it as "partial 16S ribosomal RNA". It matches the Rfam family "Bacterial small subunit ribosomal RNA", at positions 29 to 523 of the family's 1533-position model. The record is from RNAcentral.
AACGAACGCUGGCGGCAUGCCAAACACAUGCAAGUCGAACGAGAUCUUCGGGUCUAGUGGCGCACGGGUGCGUAACGCGUGGGAAUCUGCCCUUUGGUUCGGAAUAACAGUUGGAAACGACUGCUAAUACCGGAUGAUGACGAAAGUCCAAAGAUUUAUCGCCAGAGGAUGAGCCCGCGUAGGAUUAGCUAGUUGGUGUGGUAAAGGCGCACCAAGGCGACGAUCCUUAGCUGGUCUGAGAGGAUGAUCAGCCACACUGGGACUGAGAUACGGCCCAGACUCCUACGGGAGGCAGCAGUGGGGAAUAUUGGACAAUGGGCGAAAGCCUGGUCCAGCAAUGCCGCGUGAGUGAUGAAGGCCUUAGGGUUGUAAAGCUCUUUUACCCGGGAUGAUAAUGACAGUACCGGGAGAAUAAGCUCCGGCUAACUCCGUGCCAGCAGCCGCCGUAA